GGCCUUGCUCUUAUGUCAUCUGACUAAAGGUUUCAUAGACCAAAAAUAACCAUCCAACCUGUUGGAAUACUGAAACAAUUGCUGCCUGCUUUCCACACACUACAUAAAAUAUGUGGAUAUCCUAAAUUCUACAAAAAAAGAUUUGUAAGCAAAUCAAGCAAUACUGGGACUCCCUCUUCUCCAGAAGAGACAUCCUGGCCUCCAUGCAGAGGAAUGUGUGGAUAGACAUAUAUUUAAGGAAGACACUAAACCAGAAAAUACUACAUUACACCCUCUUAAAAGACUUCUAAGAUUGUUGUCAUGCCUACCACUGACAUUCAGAUGAUGUGUAUUCUUGAUUGUGAUUUCAUGUUUGGAGCUGAUGAAGGAGUUUGAAGUCUCCAGAGCAGCAAGGAGAGUGGGGAGUAGAACUCAUCAUCUUUAAGUCACUCAUCACCG
Molecule: long non-coding RNA, 438 nt
Filed under: Mus musculus (house mouse)
Lineage: Eukaryota; Metazoa; Chordata; Mammalia; Rodentia; Muridae
Description: predicted gene 28260
Source: RNAcentral